AAGGCGGAAAUGAAGCAUGAUCUGGCUUUCAUCUGGUGCAUGAAGAAAUUGAUGACACAUUAGUUGCAGUCUACCUCCACCAACAGGGUGGAAAACAAAGGUCGCCAUUUCGAUUAGCUGCUAUCUCCCAGUUCAAGCACUUUUGCUGUCUGGACACUGGUUCCUGUGGAUGGGGUGUUACAAGCUUCACUGUCUGAUAUAGAAGUGAUGAGCAUCCAUAAGGACACAUGCCAGAAAGGGAGUCUCUUUGUCAAACCCUCAUCACCUCAUGAGGAUACAAUGGUUGACGAAUGGUUCUCAAGCACAUCGAAACUUCAACAAAUAAUUCAUGAAAAAGCCAGUCAGUACUAGCUACUAUACAGGAAUUGAACGUGGACCCUCCUGCUACCAGUCAGAGAUGUUACAUUUCAGGCGCUCAUUGACUUUUGGUGAAUUACUUGUUGACUUUGUCCCAAGAUUGAGCUUGCCACAGCUCACUUGCCUAUCUGUUAAUGUUGUGGCGUGUGUUGCAUUUUUCUCUUUGUGUGUUCCAGACUCAGAACGGUUAAUUUGGAUCAGGUCAGGUACGUUUCAUUUAGACAUGGCAAACAUAAAGUGGUGUAUCUCAACACAACUUAGCAGUGGCCUUCAUGCAUUACUGCACACAAACACAGGACACACACACACACAGGACAGACACAAACACGUCCCUUUGUGUUCCCUAGUCUCGGGGGUUUUACAUAUGCAUCAUCUUCACCAGCUCGCUUGCUUCCUAGCCAUUUUUUCUGCACAUUGUUCACUCUACUUUUAUCGUGUGCUAUAUAAUCUUGUUCAAGUUCUGUCAAACGACGUGUAAUGCUAUAAAAAAAUUCAGAACACUGUGGGUUGAAUGGUAGCGCAUGAAUGCAGGAAGGAAACUGUCAUGUUAUGGCAAGUGUUUACAUAUUGUACAUUUAACUACUAAUUUUAUUGGUUAGCUUUCGCCGGCAUAUCAUGUCAAGCCAUGUUAUAUUAAUUUGGAACACGUUCUUCUUAGUAGCCAGAGCAGCUCAUAGACAGUGAGAACAUAGCCCUGUGUGUUUGUCUUGUCCACCGCAGCCCUUGGGUUUCCUCCCUGAUGGCUACACAUGUCAGGGAUAGGUUUCAGAACCAGUAGUUCCCGCCAAGUGUGAAUUGCUUUUCAGGGGAUCAUCACGCUGGCAGAUGAAGCGUAUGGUUUAAAUUAUUUGCAGGACAGGAAUUGCGUAGCUUCACACAAAUACUACUACUACGACGUAAAAGUGGUUUCAAAUCUAGCUUUUUUGUGUUCCU
Molecule: long non-coding RNA, 1290 nt
Organism: Ornithodoros turicata
Lineage: Eukaryota; Metazoa; Arthropoda; Arachnida; Ixodida; Argasidae
Exons: 3
Source: RefSeq, a predicted model, not a curated record